UUAGCAGCACUGUACUGUAAAAAUCCACAGUACUAUACUGUAUGUGUACAUUACAGUACAGAACUGCAGUUCAUAAUGCAUUCUGGGUAAAUUUGUUUGAGCGGGAACAUUUUACAGUAUAUUUUGGUCUUGAUGUAACCUUGCUGUAGCCAUUGCUGUAAUGUGCCAGGUGUACUUGCAAUAAUCAGAGAAAGUGCGCCAACGUCAAAUCACACAGACAGAGGGAGCGCACAACUCUUGGCUGCAGCUGAAGGAGGACGAUUGAUUUCUGUCAGUUCGUCUUACCAUUGCUUGUAAGUCGGAUUGGGUAAGAUGGAUCAUCUUUAAAGGCACCAGGAGUUAAGGCAGAUGUGGAGGCACAACGGGUGACACCAGACACACACCAAGCACAUUGUUCGGUAAGUUUGCACUUUACCACUACAGUUUCUUUAAAUACCCAUGUAUACACUCAUUCACAAUUCCCACAUACAACACUGUAACACGACCAUACACAACAUGUACACAAUUGUCUUAGUUUGCCAUGUAGAAAUAUACAAACAGAAAUAUUCAGACUUUGGUUAUAAGAAAUUUAAUUUAAUAAUUGUAUUUAUUUAGCAGAGGUGUCCCUGGGCUUUAUUGACAAAAGAUUUUGUUUUCAGAAUAAAAAGUUGUGUCCAAAUCAGUAACAAUUGUACUUUCUGUUCAGGACAUUCAAUCAUGACAUGAUCCAUGUGGAUGCUGUCCAUUGAGGAAAGAGUUUGUUCAGCGGUAAGUGAAUCUUCUGUAUUUUAAUGUAAUUAGGUGUGGAACAGUAGAAUAAGAGCAAAAGGUUUCAGAAUAGGAGUAAAUUCAAGGCUGAGUUUAGUUUUUUAAGAAUCUUUUUCUAUCUUAUAUUUGUUGACUUAAUGUUUAUGAUAUUUCUAACAGGUUUCUGGAUAGAAUUAAUUCCAAAGAUGGGAAAAAGUGCACAUCCAGACAAGGAGCAAGCAAAUAGACAAGGAACUUGGUGCAGAGAAAAGCUGUGGCCAUUAACCCCCAUGUGAACAGCUUCAUGCAGUCCCUGAUUGAGUUCGAAUGGACGACUUCAAAGUAAAGGCCACUGUGGUCUGUCUGCCACAGUUUAAUGCAUUUAUUUUUAGUGUUCAAUGAAAUUCAAGUAGAAUAUUUAAAACUAUGGGCCAGUGUUCUUUUUACCACAGUGAAAUGUUACCUUUUAGUCGAUGAUGGACUUUAAACUGAAAACUUCAAACUAUGGAAGAGUGUUCUAUUUGCCAGAGUUAAAUAUGUUACAGCAGGGGUCUCCAAACUUGUUUAUACUUGUUGAUUUUAUUUUAUGUUACUUGAUUAUAUGUUUAUUAUUGUUUAAAAUCUUGUUUUAAAUAUGUUUUGUUUCGAUUAAAUGUUUUUUAAAUAAAAUUUUGAUACAAACA
Molecule: non-coding RNA, 1409 nt
Organism: Paramisgurnus dabryanus
Lineage: Eukaryota; Metazoa; Chordata; Actinopteri; Cypriniformes; Cobitidae
Source: RefSeq, a predicted model, not a curated record